AGGGAAAAGGAGAAAAGAAGGAAUGAGAUUUAUGACCCGCUGGAUCCCAGCUUUUAUGUCACAAAACCAUUCCCAAUACUGGAAGUUCGUGACACCCUGAGAAACAGCCCUGGAACUCAGAGCAGUGAUCUGCAUGCAAAGGCAAAAUUAAAUAGUCCAGCAACUGCUUUGACCGAGAGACGCACAUAGUACUAUUCUGGGUCCUGAGUGCUGCUUCCGUUUCAUUUCUCCCCUAGGCGCAGAUUCCAGUGGCUCACAGAGUGAUGAGCUAGACCACCCAGGACCACUUAUGUUAUACUGAGGGUGGAUGAUGAUAGUGCUUAUAAAGGAAUUAUUUCAACAAUGGGACUUUUCCAUUACUCUUUCUGCUAUCACCCUCUACACUGAGAAUGUGGAAACCUUGGCACCUCUCGCCAAAGAAUACUAAACUCAUGGGUGUUGCUCAGAGAGUCCUGUCCUGGUUCCAGAACACUGUGAUAAUAACUGAAGAUCUUUAAAAAUCAUUAGUGCCUAAUCAUAUGGUCUAUCGAUCAUGAGAUUAAUCGCCUGCCCAAAGAGGCAGCAGGUCUUGUGGAAUGCUGCACUGCACCAGACUGAACUUCAACCUUUUAUACAAACUGGAGGAGUCAAAAUCAUCAUUCAUUGUCUGAAGCCCCUGCACCCUGGGCCUCCUGGACCCCAGGAGGAUUCAUUUCAUAGGGUUCUAUGCAUCAGUCAAGAAAAUAGCUACAGAGGAAUUACCAAGACUGGUAAUAAAGGUAAUUUAACCUAGUUUAAUAUUUUUUUAAAAGCAAAACACAAUAAGCGUUUUUUACCUGGUGAGAGUUACCUUCUUAAUUAGUCCAUGUUGGAAAACAAAUCAAAAAGACACUUAGCAGUAGUUUUCAGAGAGUGAGAGAAAAAAGAGGGAAGAGAAAGCAUUGAUCUUGGAAUUAGAUGACCUGGUUUCUAGGCCUAUCUACCCCAAUGCUUUUCAAACUUUAAUGUGCAUAACGAAUCAAC
This is a long non-coding RNA of Cebus imitator (Panamanian white-faced capuchin), 1002 nucleotides long. RefSeq lists it as uncharacterized. The transcript has 3 exons. The record is from RefSeq and is a predicted model, not a curated record. Lineage: Eukaryota; Metazoa; Chordata; Mammalia; Primates; Cebidae.